Molecule: ribosomal RNA, 465 nt
Filed under: uncultured bacterium
Lineage: Bacteria
Description: partial 16S ribosomal RNA
Rfam family: Bacterial small subunit ribosomal RNA
Source: RNAcentral
GACGAACGCUGGCGGCGUGCUUAACACAUGCAAGUCGAACGGAAAGGCCCCUUUGGGGGUACUCGAGUGGCGAACGGGUGAGUAACACGUGAGUAACCUGCCCUUGACUUCGGGAUAACUUCAGGAAACUGGGGCUAAUACCGGAUAGGAAUCCUUGCUGCAUGGUGGGGGUUGGAAAGCUUCGGCGGUUUUGGAUGGACUCGCGGCUUAUCAGCUUGUUGGUGGGGUAGUGGCUUACCAAGGCUUUGACGGGUAGCCGGCCUGAGAGGGCGACCGGCCACAUUGGGACUGAGAGACGGCCCAGACUCCUACGGGAGGCAGCAGUGGGGAAUAUUGCACAAUGGGCGGAAGCCUGAUGCAGCAACGCCGCGUGCGGGAGGACGGCCUUCGGGUUGUAAACCGCUUUCAGCAGGGGCGAAGCUUGUGGUGACGGUACCUGCAGAAGAAGCACCGGCUAACUACGUG